Molecule: ribosomal RNA, 744 nt
Filed under: uncultured bacterium
Lineage: Bacteria
Description: bacterial SSU rRNA
Rfam family: Bacterial small subunit ribosomal RNA
Source: RNAcentral
AGAGUUUGAUCCUGGCUCAGAACGAACGCUGGCGGCAGGCCUCAAACAUGCAAGUCUAGGGGGUGUAGCAAUACAUCACCGGCGGACGGGUGCGUAACGCGUGGGAAUGUACCUAUUGGUUCGGAACAACUGAGGGAAACUUCAGCUAAUACCGAAUGUGCCCUUACGGGGAAAGAUUUAUCGCCAAUGGAUCAGCCCGCGUCCGAUUAGCUAGUUGGUGGGGUAAUGGCUCACCAAGGCUCCGAUCGGUAGCUGUUCUGAGAGGAAGAUCAGCCACACUGGGACUGAGACACGGCCCAGACUCCUACGGGAGGCAGCAGUUGGGAAUCUUGGACAAUGGGGGAAACCCUGAUCCAGCCAUGCCGCGUGAGUGAUGAAGGCCUUCGGGUUGUAAAACUCUUUCGCGCACGACGAUAAUGACGGUAGUGCGAGAAGAAGCUCCGGCUAACUUCGUGCCAGCAGCCGCGGUAAUACGAAGGGGGCUAGCGUUGUUCGGAAUUACUGGGCGUAAAGCGCGCGCAGGCGGUCUUCCAAGUCAGUGGUGAAAGCCCGGAGCUCAACUCCGGAAUUGCCAUUGAAACUGUUGGACUGGAGUAUGAGAGAGGUGAGUGGAAUUCCCAGUGUAGAGGUGAAAUUCGUAGAUAUUGGGAAGAACACCGGUGGCGAAGGCGGCUCACUGGCUCAUUACUGACGCUCAUGCGCGACAGCGUGGGGAUCAAACAGGAUUAGAUACCCCGGUAGUCC